Molecule: ribosomal RNA, 464 nt
Filed under: Phoma herbarum
Lineage: Eukaryota; Fungi; Ascomycota; Dothideomycetes; Pleosporales; Didymellaceae
Description: eukaryotic LSU rRNA
Rfam family: 5.8S ribosomal RNA (bases 111-264)
Source: RNAcentral
UACCCAUGUCUUUUGAGUACCUUACGUUUCCUCGGUGGGUUCGCCCACCGAUUGGACAAAUUUAAACCCUUUGCAGUUGAAAUCAGCGUCUGAAAAAACUUAAUAGUUACAACUUUCAACAACGGAUCUCUUGGUUCUGGCAUCGAUGAAGAACGCAGCGAAAUGCGAUAAGUAGUGUGAAUUGCAGAAUUCAGUGAAUCAUCGAAUCUUUGAACGCACAUUGCGCCCCUUGGUAUUCCAUGGGGCAUGCCUGUUCGAGCGUCAUUUGUACCUUCAAGCUCUGCUUGGUGUUGGGUGUUUGUCUCCUGUAGACUCGCCUUAAAACAAUUGGCAGCCGGCGUAUUGAUUUCGGAGCGCAGUACAUCUCGCGCUUUGCACUCAUAACGACGACAUCCAAAAGUACAUUUUUACACUCUUGACCUCGGAUCAGGUAGGGAUACCCGCUGAACUUAAGCAUAUCAAUA